RNAcentral lists this long non-coding RNA (1121 nucleotides) under Portunus trituberculatus (swimming crab). RNAcentral's name for it is "uncharacterized LOC123499742, transcript variant X3". Lineage: Eukaryota; Metazoa; Arthropoda; Malacostraca; Decapoda; Portunidae. The record is from RNAcentral.
UUUGUGGUCGGCAGUGCGCGAAGAACUAUUGUGUGGGAACGACACAGCGGAUGCGACAACCGAGGACUGAGCGCAUGGACUGGAUGACGAUCCCGAUGCUUCAAAGGCGGCAAAGCAUAAACGUCUCGCCUCUGCCUCUCAUCUCUCCACAGUCAAGCCAUCUGGAGCAAUCAGCCAGGUGCUGCCUUGCUCACCACCUCCAUGGGCCAAUAUCGGAGCACCACCUCCCUUACAACCUUGGAUAUGGUAACACACCUGAAUGAUGUCGCCAACGACCACCUCUGCCUGGAACGCACUAUACUCGCUGGUCACUUGCACCGUCCACGUCUAUCUCGGGAUCGCUUCUGCCCUUGGUGUACAAUUAUUCCUGAGACCAUCCAGCAUUUCCUCCUCCACUGCCCAUGUUUCCACUCCCACCGCACUGCAUUACGCUCCCAGCUCACAACUCGACUCGCGCAGCCUCAAGGGUCCACCCCUCCCGUCAACCUGCCUACCACCAACCUACUAUGCAUUCUUGAAGACGGCCAGGUACCGUGCCAGUGAUACCCACACAGAACUACCACAAGGCUCAUAAAGUUCUAUAGAUCAUCGCAACAACUAGCAAACAAUGCUUAAAUAACGACACAGGGUUAGUGUCUUCACACCACAAGGCGGAAGACGCAGGAGGGGUGGACAACUGGAAAAAAAAGUGAGGCGUUAGGUUUGUCAUGGCCCCUCUACAGUGUGUGUGUGUGUGUGUGUGUGUGUGAAGGUCAUGUCACGCCUGAAAGGCGAACCCACCUGCGUGUCCUGCCAGCAUCUCCAGCCUGCUGGUGGGAGGAGUAUGCCGAAGAAGCAAAAUCAGGGAGGAACAUGAGAAAAUGAGCAGAUGCAAGAGGACGGCACUUGAACAUGAGAAAAGGUGUAAGAGGACAACACGCGUGUAUAUGUGGCAGUCAGUCGUCCCUGUCAUGAGUUCCUCCCUGGUAAACUACCUCGCUUCACUUUGCAUCACACGUCUACUCCGUUGUUCCAUGACUGGUGCUGUUGCUGUCUUGUCCUGCUAUUUACUGCUUUCUUUUCUUGUGGAUGUACCUACCUGUCUAUGGUGUUCAGUACUUUACAAUAAAUGAGGAAAUGGG